AACGAACUCUGGUAUUGAUUGGUGCUUGCAUCAUGAUUUACAUUUGAGUGAGUGGCGAACUGGUGAGUAACACGUGGGAAACCUGCCCAGAAGCGGGGGAUAACACCUGGAAACAGAUGCUAAUACCGCAUAACAACUUGGACCGCAUGGUCCGAGUUUGAAAGAUGGCUUCGGCUAUCACUUUUGGAUGGUCCCGCGGCGUAUUAGCUAGAUGGUGGGGUAACGGCUCACCAUGGCAAUGAUACGUAGCCGACCUGAGAGGGUAAUCGGCCACAUUGGGACUGAGACACGGCCCAAACUCCUACGGGAGGCAGCAGUAGGGAAUCUUCCACAAUGGACGAAAGUCUGAUGGAGCAACGCCGCGUGAGUGAAGAAGGGUUUCGGCUCGUAAAACUCUGUUGUUAAAGAAGAACAUAUCUGAGAGUAACUGUUCAGGUAUUGACGGUAUUUAACCAGAAAGCCACGGCUAACUACGUGCCAGCAGCCGCGGUAAUACGUAGGUGGCAAGCGUUGUCCGGAUUUAUUGGGCGUAAAGCGAGCGCAGGCGGUUUUUUAAGUCUGAUGUGAAAGCCUUCGGCUCAACCGAAGAAGUGCAUCGGAAACUGGGAAACUUGAGUGCAGAAGAGGACAGUGGAACUCCAUGUGUAGCGGUGAAAUGCGUAGAUAUAUGGAAGAACACCAGUGGCGAAGGCGGCUGUCUGGUCUGUAACUGACGCUGAGGCUCGAAAGUAUGGGUAGCAAACAGGAUUAGAUACCCUGGUAGUCCAUACCGUAAACGAUGAAUGCUAAGUGUUGGAGGGUUUCCGCCCUUCAGUGCUGCAGCUAACGCAUUAAGCAUUCCGCCUGGGGAGUACGGCCGCAAGGCUGAAACUCAAAGGAAUUGACGGGGGCCCGCACAAGCGGUGGAGCAUGUGGUUUAAUUCGAAGCUACGCGAAGAACCUUACCAGGUCUUGACAUACUAUGCAAAUCUAAGAGAUUAGACGUUCCCUUCGGGGACAUGGAUACAGGUGGUGCAUGGUUGUCGUCAGCUCGUGUCGUGAGAUGUUGGGUUAAGUCCCGCAACGAGCGCAACCCUUAUUAUCAGUUGCCAGCAUUAAGUUGGGCACUCUGGUGAGACUGCCGGUGACAAACCGGAGGAAGGUGGGGAUGACGUCAAAUCAUCAUGCCCCUUAUGACCUGGGCUACACACGUGCUACAAUGGAUGGUACAACGAGUUGCGAACUCGCGAGAGUAAGCUAAUCUCUUAAAGCCAUUCUCAGUUCGGAUUGUAGGCUGCAACUCGCCUACAUGAAGUCGGAAUCGCUAGUAAUCGCGGAUCAGCAUGCCGCGGUGAAUACGUUCCCGGGCCUUGUACACACCGCCCGUCACACCAUGAGAGUUUGUAACACCCAAAGUCGGUGG
Molecule: ribosomal RNA, 1402 nt
Filed under: Lactiplantibacillus pentosus
Lineage: Bacteria; Bacillati; Bacillota; Bacilli; Lactobacillales; Lactobacillaceae
Also listed under: 1 other name
Description: partial 16S ribosomal RNA
Rfam family: Bacterial small subunit ribosomal RNA
Source: RNAcentral